RNAcentral lists this long non-coding RNA (882 nucleotides) under Cricetulus griseus (Chinese hamster). RNAcentral's name for it is "lncRNA (ENSCGRG00015036245.1)". The record is from RNAcentral. Lineage: Eukaryota; Metazoa; Chordata; Mammalia; Rodentia; Cricetidae.
UUUUCCCCUCUCCCCUUUUCUUUGUAUUUCUCUUUUUCUGUAGAGUUAAACAAUAAGGUUGCCACGUUUUUUAAAUGUUUAUGAAAUCUCCUGUCAUCUACUCAGAAAGAUGACUCUUCAAAAAUAUUAAGCCACUAGUUAGGCCUUGUACAGCCCUGGAAUUCCAGCUACCAGAGAGGCAGAGGCAAGAGAGUUGCAAGUGCAAGACCUGCCUGGGCUACAGAACGAGUUUAAGAUCACCCUUGGCAACUAACGGCUGAGUGAAAUGGCUCGACUAAAGACUCUUACUGCCAAGCCUGAUAAUCCGAGUUCAAGUCAUGGCACCUGCAAGGUAGAAGGGGAGAAUCAAACUAUCCUCCAACUUCCAUGUGUGCCCUCACAAUAGGGAAGUCAAGGCAGGAACCUGAAGCAGCUAGUCACAUUGUGACAGGGCAAGACAGUGCAGAAGUUCCUCCGUCUUGUAUUCCUGUUGAGGCCGGUUCCAGGUUUAACUCAGAUCUGAUCUUGAUGGGGAAUCCCAUGGAAAACUACCAAACUCUAUUCUGGGGCCCAAAGGUCAGGAUGUCCUAGCUAACUUAUCUUAGCCUUUGCUAAAACUGCUUGUUUGUGCAGAACCUCCUCCAGCUAACCAUUCACCUUAGCUGCCUGUUUGCUUGGAACCACCCCCCUUGGCUAGCUAAAUGCUUAUCUCAGCGUCUGUUAAAACUUCUUGCUUCAAACUGCACACUCUUCAAAGCCCCAAUUCCCGCUGCCAAGGGAGAUGCCUGAGUGAGGUCUCUGCUCUUAAAAACCUAUAUUCUGAACACUUGGGACCAUACCUAGGUCCCAGAACACCUGGGUAUGGUCCCAUCCAUUUGGAAUAAAGACUUUCAAUUGGCUAUA